GACGAACGCUGGCGGCGUGCUUAACACAUGCAAGUCGAACGGUAAGGCCCUUCGGGGUACACGAGUGGCGAACGGGUGAGUAACACGUGGGUGAUCUGCCCUGCACUUCGGGAUAAGCCUGGGAAACUGGGUCUAAUACCGGAUAGGACCACUGCCUGCAUGGGUGGUGGUGGGAAGCUUUUGCGGUGUGGCGGAUGGGCCCGCGGCCUAGCAGCUUGUUGGUGGGGUGAUGGCCUACCAAGGCGACGACGGGUAGCCGGCCUGAGAGGGUGACCGGUCACACUGGGACUGAGAUACGGCCCAGACUCCUACGGGAGGCAGCAGUGGGGAAUAUUGCACAAGGGGCGCAAGCCUGAUGCAGCGACGCCGCGUGAGGGAUGACGGCCUUCGGGUUGUAAACCUCUUUCAGCACCGACGAAGCGCAAGUGACGGUAGGUGCAGAAGAAGGACCGGCCAACUACGUGCCAGCCGCCGCCGUAA
RNAcentral lists this ribosomal RNA (480 nucleotides) under uncultured bacterium. RNAcentral's name for it is "partial 16S ribosomal RNA". It matches the Rfam family "Bacterial small subunit ribosomal RNA", at positions 28 to 523 of the family's 1533-position model. The record is from RNAcentral.